Molecule: ribosomal RNA, 256 nt
Filed under: uncultured bacterium
Lineage: Bacteria
Description: partial 16S ribosomal RNA
Rfam family: Bacterial small subunit ribosomal RNA
Source: RNAcentral
UACGGGGGGAGCAAGCGUUGUUCGGAUUUACUGGGCGUAAAGGGCGCGUAGGCGGUCAGCACAAGUCAGUUGUGAAAUCUCCGGGCUUAACUCGGAAAGGUCAACUGAUACUGUGCGACUAGAGUGCGGGAAGGGGCAACUGGAAUUCUCGGUGUAGCGGUGGAAAUGCGUAGAUAUCGAGAGGAACACCUGCGGCGAAGGCGGGUUGCUGGGCCGACACUGACGCUGAUGCGCGAAAGCCAGGGGAGCGAACGGG